UCGUGCUCAUGUUGUCAAACCACUGUCC
This 28-nucleotide small RNA is filed under the name Bombyx mori (domestic silkworm). Its description in RNAcentral is "piRNA piR-bmo-1759286". The record is from RNAcentral. Lineage: Eukaryota; Metazoa; Arthropoda; Insecta; Lepidoptera; Bombycidae.